This is a long non-coding RNA of Epinephelus lanceolatus (giant grouper), 1088 nucleotides long. RefSeq lists it as uncharacterized. NCBI's taxonomy places the organism in Eukaryota, Metazoa, Chordata, Actinopteri, Perciformes, Serranidae. The record is from RefSeq and is a predicted model, not a curated record.
AUGUCAGGUCAGAGGUUAAGCGGGAAGUAAAUAGAAUUAAGUGGACUAAAAACACAAAUUAAAUCAAUAAAGAAGCUAAAAUCGAAAAAAGUCAGAGACACGGAGAAGAACAUACUCCAGGCUGGUGUUUAGACAUGUUCAAAGACUACAUACAUAUUGAAAAACAACGUAAGCUAACUGUUGAUGAUGCUAGUGAUGCUAAGUCUUGCUAACGUUAGCCGCAAGCUAAUGAUUCCAGCGGAGACAAGCGGAGGCCGCUGCCGAGGAGCUCGGAGCUAACGCCCGGCUAUCGACCAGAGGGGAGUGUCACAGUGUCACAGUGUUACAGAGGAGGCUGCUACCGACCAGGACUAAGAAGAGAAGGUUGCUGCCCGCUGCUGAGGACGAGCUACAUGACAGCGUCUCAACAGGGAUGCAAAACUGGAUUACCAGCUGGGCAAAGUAGACCACUUCUCCCCAAGACCCACCCAGGACCUCUGAGGGCUCCAAAAGCUUCAGCUUUAGUCUGCCGUUUGGCAACUGACGGGCAGAAACAUGGCGCCCACCGCCCACCCUAGCUUUUGCUGCUACCUAGGUACGGGGGAGCUUGCUAGCAGCACCUGCAAUUACCGCUGGUACUGCUGGACCCAUAGUGGUGGGAUGAUGUUGCUGGGGAAACAUGGUGUCCACCCUUCAGUCCCUCCCCAGGUGGCCCAGUGUUCUGCAGCUCACCGGAUGUCCCUCCUAGAUGGCACGCCAUCAACCGUCCCCUCCACCUGCCAAUGUCAAAGCCAGCUCACAAACUUCCACUUUAGAAAUGUUGAUAUGAACAUAAACAUGCAAAUGUAACAUAUUCAUUGUUUGCAGGGAUGUACAGCGUCAACAUUUUCUUCUUGCAACUGGGUCGAAAGGUCACCAAUGGGUGCCAUGGAAACAGUAUUUAGAAAGGGAUCAGCUACCACACUGUCUAGUUCAGCGUUUUGCAUGUACAUGUACGAAAAACAAAAUUUCUGUACCAAAUACAAACUCUUAAUUGUUGGUAUUAACUGUGAUGUGCUCAGUAUUUUAUUAUAAGCUUGAUAAAUAAAGUGUUUAUUGAUGGAACCAGC